CUGCAACUGACACUGAUGCUCGAAAGUGUGGGUAUCAAACAGGAUUAGAUACCCUGGUAGUCCACACAGUAAACGAUGAAUACUCGCUGUUUGCGAUAUACAGUAAGCGGCCAAGCGAAAGCAUUAAGUAUUCCACCUGGGGAGUACGCCGGCAACGGUGAAACUCAAAGGAAUUGACGGGGGCCCGCACAAGCGGAGGAACAUGUGGUUUAAUUCGAUGAUACGCGAGGAACCUUACCCGGGCUUAAAUUGCAGUGGAAUGAUGUGGAAACAUGUCAGUGAGCAAUCACCGCUGUGAAGGUGCUGCAUGGUUGUCGUCAGCUCGUGCCGUGAGGUGUCGGCUUAAGUGCCAUAACGAGCGCAACCCUUAUCUUCAGUUACUAACAGGUCAUGCUGAGGACUCUGGAGAGACUGCCGUCGUAAGAUGUGAGGAAGGUGGGGAUGACGCCAAAUCAGCACGGCCCUUACGUCCGGGGCUACACACGUGUUACAAUGGGGGGUACAGAAGGCAGCUAGCGGGUGACCGUAUGCUAAUCCCAAAAUCCUCUCUCAGUUCGGAUCGAAGUCUGCAACCCGACUUCGUGAAGCUGGAUUCGCUAGUAAUCGCGCAUCAGCCACGGCGCGGUGAAUACGUUCCCGGGCCUUGUACACACCGCCCGUCAAGCCAUGGGAGCCGNNNGUACCUGAAGUACGUAACCGCAAGGAUCGUCCUAGGGUAAAACUGGUGACUGGGGCUAAGUCGUAACAAGGUAACCA
RNAcentral lists this ribosomal RNA (756 nucleotides) under uncultured bacterium. RNAcentral's name for it is "bacterial SSU rRNA". It matches the Rfam family "Bacterial small subunit ribosomal RNA", at positions 734 to 1502 of the family's 1533-position model. The record is from RNAcentral.